AUACUUACCUGGCAGGGGAGACACCUUGAUCAUGAAGGUGGUUUUCCCAGCGUGAGGCUCAUCCAUUGCACUGCAGGUGUGCUGACCUCUGCGAUUUCCCCUAAUGUCUAAACCCCCCCCAAAAAAACUCAUAGAGGUGUCUCCUC
This 146-nucleotide small nuclear RNA is filed under the name Podarcis muralis (Common wall lizard). Its description in RNAcentral is "U1 spliceosomal RNA (ENSPMRG00000005374.1)". It matches the Rfam family "U1 spliceosomal RNA". From Rfam's summary of the family: U1 is a small nuclear RNA (snRNA) component of the spliceosome (involved in pre-mRNA splicing). Its 5' end forms complementary base pairs with the 5' splice junction, thus defining the 5' donor site of an intron. Lineage: Eukaryota; Metazoa; Chordata; Lepidosauria; Squamata; Lacertidae. The record is from RNAcentral.